RNAcentral lists this ribosomal RNA (442 nucleotides) under uncultured Prevotella sp. RNAcentral's name for it is "bacterial SSU rRNA". It matches the Rfam family "Bacterial small subunit ribosomal RNA", at positions 355 to 794 of the family's 1533-position model. The record is from RNAcentral. Lineage: Bacteria; Pseudomonadati; Bacteroidota; Bacteroidia; Bacteroidales; Prevotellaceae.
UGAGGAAUAUUGGUCAAUGGGCGAGAGCCUGAACCAGCCAAGUCGCGUGAGGGAAGACGGUCCUACGGAUUGUAAACCUCUUUUGUCGGGGAACAAAAGGCGCCACGCGUGGUGUAUAGAGUGUACCCGAAGAAAAAGCAUCGGCUAACUCCGUGCCAGCAGCCGCGGUAAUACGGAGGAUGCGAGCGUUAUCCGGAUUUAUUGGGUUUAAAGGGAGCGUAGGCCGGAGGGUAAGCGUGUUGUGAAAUGCAGUUGCUCAACAUCUGCACUGCAGCGCGAAUUGUUCUCCUUGAGUGCGCAGGAAGUAGGCGGAAUUCGUCGUGUAGCGGUGAAAUGCUUAGAUAUGACGAAGAACUCCGAUUGGGAAGCCAGCUUACUGUAGCGCCACUGACGCUGAUGCUCGAAAGUGCGGGUAUCGAACAGGAUUAGAUACCCUGGUAGU